RNAcentral lists this long non-coding RNA (1123 nucleotides) under Bos indicus x Bos taurus (hybrid cattle). RNAcentral's name for it is "lncRNA (ENSBIXG00000020220.1)". The record is from RNAcentral. Lineage: Eukaryota; Metazoa; Chordata; Mammalia; Artiodactyla; Bovidae.
CAUAUCGAUGCCUUAGGAAACAGUGAAGAUUAGAUCUCCGAGGUCAGCCGGUGUGUAAUUGGAAUCUCGGGGCUAGGAGAACACAGUCAGAUUUACACAGGGCUUCUUGUCUCUAGGGAUUCUUUUAUUUUUUUUUGCUAUCAUAUCAUCUCUGAUAGAGCAAAACUGCUUGUUUUAGCUCUUGAUAGAAAAGUAACUUCCCUUGUCCAUUUUUUCACAAGCAAUGUAUAAACAGGAAGAAAGUGGAAAGCCUGUCAUUAUGUGUAGCAGUACCCACUUUUGGUUAUAUGCCACAGAGAGGGAUGUGGAUUUGAGGGUAGAAGAUCUGGGUUUGAGUCCAGUUCUGCCUUGGGAUAUUUGUAUAUGAAACUUCUCCAUGAAAGCAGGGAUCAUCUUUGCCCGUUUAUUUCUUUUCCACUGCUGAACCUUGGUAUUAGAACUGUGCUUUACCACACAAAAGAUAUUCAGGUAAAUGUUUGCUAAAUGAGUGAAAAAUUCUGGGUAUAUAAAUUUUUUUUUCCUGUAACAGAUUUUUUUUGUCAUAAACAUCUUACACAAGUUGAUGUGUCCGUGUGUGCAUGUGUAUUUUAUUUAUAUCCUUAGAAUCAAUUCCAAGAUCAUUGUGUAAAAGGGCAUGGACCAUUUUAUAACUUGUUAAACAUUUCCAGGUUAAUCUCAGAAAAUACUGAACCAAUUUACAAUGCCAUCAACCUUGUAAAUUUGUUCAGGGUAUCAGUUUCCCAAUGCCAACUCUUAAAGGAAUUUAGAAUGAUUAACAAUUGGGCUAGUUACUUAUGUCUCUGAAGCUCAGUUUCUUUAAACUGUAAAAUGGAGAUAAUGAUAUAAGUUUGAAAAUUGAGUGAGUGAAUUUAAUACCAACGUGUGAAGUUGGUAUUAAAUGUAUGAUUCCCAUAUAAAAAAAUUGGAGUAUCAUAGUGCUCUCAUAUAGUAGUAAUGCAUCUCUGCUGGGGAUGUAAACUGCCAGGUGAGGUGGGAGCUAGCUCCUUCGGGUAACGGAUAGAAGACCUCAGCAUCACAUGAGUGGUAACUGCUGCAGCUGGUAGAGUUAGAUGUUUGGGAGAAGGAAAUAAUCUCAUAUUUUUGUACACUUGAUUCUCUAGCU